UUUUUUUUUUUUUUUUUUAAUGAAUUAAGUUUUCAGAGAUAAACAGUUUACCAUGGAUGCACUAAAUUGAAUGUGAGAGGACUGCCUGCUAUGGGUGCCUUUAGUGUUAAAUUAAAUUGCCCUUGCUUCUUUCUUAAGUGCUGUUCCCCCCAACCAUAUCUCGUUUAUUCGAUUACAUUUUUUUGUGGCUUUUUUUGUGUGUUUAUGAAUAUGGCUUCGUUGUCCAUGGACGAAUUGGUAGUUGUAUUUGUUACUCAUUUGACUUUAUUAAUUUGUUUUUUUUUCCUAAAGUAUUCCCUUUUGUCCAUCGUUUCCUUAGAUGGACGCUACAACACCCAAGUAUUCCAAGGCCAGGUAUGACGAAAUUGUCAAGGAAGUCUCCUCAUACCUUAAGAAGGUUGGAUACAACCCUGAGG
Molecule: unclassified non-coding RNA, 416 nt
Filed under: Hevea brasiliensis (rubber tree)
Lineage: Eukaryota; Viridiplantae; Streptophyta; Magnoliopsida; Malpighiales; Euphorbiaceae
Source: RNAcentral